RNAcentral lists this long non-coding RNA (1249 nucleotides) under Nicotiana tabacum (common tobacco). RNAcentral describes it as "long non-coding RNA (NTAB_LNC018106)". The record is from RNAcentral. Lineage: Eukaryota; Viridiplantae; Streptophyta; Magnoliopsida; Solanales; Solanaceae.
UUUUCUGCAGCAAACUCCUCACUUCUUCAGAGUUCCUCGCGACGGAAUCAAAAUUUAUCUUCAUCUGUUCCGCUCUCUCUCUCUCUAGGUAUUUUUCUCUCUCAAUAUUUAAUUUGACUAAAACCUUAUUAUCUUUUGCAUUUGGCUAUGAUUUUGAAUGGUAUAAUACAAAUUAUAGUGAGUUUUGCUGUGUUUGCUUCAUUUCUUUAACAAACUCUCAGCUCCAGUAUCAGUUAUUUUUUAGUUAUUAUAAUUUGCUAUAGUUGUGAUGGUGUGUUAAUUUGCUGUAAUAAUCAAAAUUCUGAAUAAAUGGCUAAUUACGAAAAGCUCUUAUGAGUAGUUAUGCCACUGGAGGCAGUGGGUACACGCCUUAAUUACUUGUUUAAUGAUUUAUUUUUUUUGUUCCUGUUUUGAGAGCUGAUUGUGUGUUGAUUUGAAAUUGAACUGAUCUCUAAUUAUAUUUUUAUGUGUUAAUGUGGGUUUUCUUGCUAGUACUGGAUUUCUAUUUCUAUAUAUAUUUCCUCUAUAGAAGACCAAAAAAUUGAUUAACUUUUAGCUAAUUAUUAAAAUUAGGGUUUAAUUAUGGAAAUCUAUUUUUUUUCUAAGUGAAGUUAGUUUGUAAUGCAAUUGAAAAUAAGAAAGUUAAAAGAACUUAUAUGUAAAGUAUGGUGGAGGAUUUGAUACGGGUGCGGUGGAACUUAGGAGGAUCCGAGCAACAUAGCCUAUAACGACCAUUAAUGUUGAAAAAAUCAGAAAUUAGAUUUUACCUUGUAGGUUGCUGAUGAUAACAUGGACAUAGUUAAGCUGCAAGAAUACUCUGUCCUCCUUAACAGAUCUCCCUAAUGUUACCAAAAAUGUUACUCUUUUCUCUUGCAGAUUUUCCUCCUCAUAAUAUUGGUUCUUUUAGUAUAGUCUUGAUCCAUAUUAACAUUAUGUUUUUAUAGAAUGAUUUGUAAGACUGCUUUUAUGCCGAUAAACUUGCAGUAAUACGAGCUAUCUAAUGUUGAUAUGUCCUGCAUUGAACAAAAGUAUCCUUAAUUAAUCAUCUUUUCUGCAUGUGAACAGCUACAUCUGUGAAUUAACGAGACAUUUCCUCCAUGCAGUUCAGCUGAUAAUUAAAGGAUAUCGUGGAAAUGGCAACCUAUAUGUGGAGGAAAUAUGCAGAUUAUGUGUACACAAAGUGGGAGAAGACAAUUCUAUGGGAUAUGGUCGAACCAUUUAGGAGACCAAAAUCGUUUACACCUCUUGU